RNAcentral lists this ribosomal RNA (1452 nucleotides) under Trachelomonas echinata. Its description in RNAcentral is "bacterial SSU rRNA". It matches the Rfam family "Bacterial small subunit ribosomal RNA". The record is from RNAcentral. Lineage: Eukaryota; Euglenozoa; Euglenophyceae; Euglenales; Euglenaceae.
GAGUUUGAUCCUUGCUCAGGAUGAACGCUGGCGGUAUGCUUAACACAUGCAAGUUUUACGGUAUUUGAUUUUUCAAUUUACCGUGGCGGACGGGUGAGUAAUAGGAUAGAAUCUACGUUUAGGUGAGGGAUAACGCUCGGAAACGUUCGGUAAUACCUCAUAAUGCUACUAAGUUAAAAAGUUUUACUUGCCUAAACAUGAGCUAUCUUCUGAUUAGUUUGUUGGUGAGGUAACGGCUUACCAAGACUUUGAUCAGUAGUUGAUUUGAGAGGAUGGUCAACCACACUGGGACUGAGAUACGGAACAGACUUCUACGGAAGGCAGCAGUGAGGAAUAUUGCACAAUGGGCGAAAGCCUGAUGCAGCAAUACCGCGUGGAGGAAGAAGGUUUUUGAAUUGUAAACUCCUUUUCUCAAAAAAGAAUAAAUGACGGUAUUUGAGGAAUAAGGAUGGGCUAAUUCUGUGCCAGCAGCCGCGGUAAUACAGGACAUCCAAGCGUUAUCCGGAAUUAUUGGGCGUAAAGGGUGCGUAGGUUGUUAUAUGUGUUUGUUAUUAAAUUUUAGGGCUUAACUUUGAAAAUGUAUUGAAGACUAUAUAACUAGAGUUCACUAGAGGUAAAGGGAAUUUUCAGUGUAGCGGUGAAAUGCGUAGAUAUUGGAAAGAACACCGGAGGCGAAGGCGCUUUACUAGGUUGAUACUGACAUUGAGGCACGAAAGCUAAGGGAGAGAUUAGGAUUAGAUACCCUCGUAUUCUUAGCAGUAAACAAUGGGUACUAAAUGGCGUUAUAAAACGCUGUUAAAGUUAACACGUUAAGUACCCCGCCUGGGGAGUAUGCUUGCAAAAGUGAAACUCAAAGGAAUUGACGGGGGCUCGCACAAGCAGUGGAGCAUGCGGUUUAAUUCGAUGAUACCCGAAGAAUCUUACCAGAAUUUGACAUGCCAAAAAGGGUUUUGAAAGAAAUUUUGCUCUUAGGAGAAUUUGGAUACAGGUGGUGCAUGGCUGUCAUCAGUUCGUGUAGUGAUAUAUUUAGUUAACUCUAGAAACGGACGCAACCCUCUUUUUUAGUUGUUUUUUUAAUAUCUAAAAAUACUGCCGAUGAUAAGUCGGAGGAAGGUGAGGAUGAGGUCAAGUCAUCAUGCCCCUUAUAUUCUGGGCUACACGCGUGCUACAAUGGGUAAGACAAUGAGUCGCCACUUUGUAAAAAGGAGCUAAUCUCGUAAACUUAUCCUUAGUUCAGAUUGAGGGCUGAAACUCGCCCUUAUGAAGAUGGAAUUGCUAGUAAUCGCCAAUCAGAUAAGUGGCGGUGAAUUCGUUCCCGAGCCUUGUACACACCGCCCGUCACACUAUGGAAGUUGGUUGUAUUUUAAGAUAGAGUCUUAACAUUUGGUGGAUCUAUUUAUGAUCUGGUCAGCAACUAGAGUGAAGUCGUAACAAGGUAGCCGUACUGGAAGG